AGUUGCAUAGCUCAGUGGUUAACCUUCCUUCAGGUUAGAGCAUCUCACAUGGUAUGAGAAGGUCCUGGGUUCAAUUCCCAGUCCAACCA
This is a non-coding RNA of Mycena belliarum, 89 nucleotides long. NCBI's taxonomy places the organism in Eukaryota, Fungi, Basidiomycota, Agaricomycetes, Agaricales, Mycenaceae. The record is from the annotation of a GenBank genome assembly.